This 253-nucleotide ribosomal RNA is filed under the name uncultured bacterium. RNAcentral's name for it is "partial 16S ribosomal RNA". It matches the Rfam family "Bacterial small subunit ribosomal RNA", at positions 524 to 776 of the family's 1533-position model. The record is from RNAcentral.
UACGGAGGGUGCAAACGUUGCUCGGAAUCAUUGGGCGUAAAGCGCACGUAGGUGGCCUGUUAAGUCGGGUGUGAAAUCCCUGGGCUCAACCCAGGAAGUGCACUCGAAACUGGCAGGCUUGAGUACUGAAGAGGGUCGCGGAAUUCCCGGUGUAGAGGUGAAAUUCGUAGAUAUCGGGAGGAACACCGGUGGCGAAGGCGGCGACCUGGGUAGAUACUGACGCUGAGGUGCGAAAGCGUGGGGAGCAAACAGG